Molecule: ribosomal RNA, 454 nt
Filed under: uncultured bacterium
Lineage: Bacteria
Also listed under: 2 other names
Description: partial 16S ribosomal RNA
Rfam family: Bacterial small subunit ribosomal RNA
Source: RNAcentral
ACGGGAGGCAGCAGUGAGGAAUAUUGGUCAAUGGGCGAGAGCCUGAACCAGCCAAGUAGCGUGCAGGAUGACGGCCCUAUGGGUUGUAAACUGCUUUUAACCGGGAAUAACGUUACCUUCGUGAAGGUAAGUGCAUGUACCGGUUGAAUAAGGAUCGGCUAACUCCGUGCCAGCAGCCGCGGUAAUACGGAGGAUUCGAGCGUUAUCCGGAUUUAUUGGGUUUAAAGGGAGCGUAGGCGGGAAGUCAAGUCAGCUGUGAAAUGUAGACGCUCAACGUCUGCACUGCAGUUGAAACUGGUUUUCUUGAGUGCGUAAGAGGCAGGCGGAAUUCGUCGUGUAGCGGUGAAAUGCUUAGAUAUGACGAAGAACUCCUAUUGCGAAGGCAGCUUGCUGGGCCGCAACUGACGCUGAAGCUCGAAGGUGCGGGUAUCGAACAGGAUUAGAUACCCUGGUA